UUAAAGCGGCACUCCGAUGUGUGUGGGAGGCUUGGAUGACCAGCGGUGAGAAAUCUUUCACAAAAACGGGCCGCAUGCGAAAAUCAUCCUUUUGUGUGGUCUGCCAGUGGAUCUUAAAAGCGUGGAACAGUGUGAAAGAAUCUACGAUCCCCAACGGAUUUCGAAAGGCUGGACUGCUACGUGAGGAGAACAGCACAACUUCAGCGGGAACUGUGUCGAGAUGAAAAUGACAUUGAGAGAGACACCGACAGAGACUGAAAUGGUGUGUGACGGAGAUGUUCUGAGGCUGUUCAACUCUCACACUGAAGAAGACAACUUCAGUGGUUUCAGUGAAAAGGAGGAGGAUGAAUAAAAACUGACUUUUCUGUUAUGUUUGGGCUGUUUUACUGCCGUGUUCCAGGCACUGGUUGGAAACAAUUUAGGGAUGCUCUGCCUCAGCAUGUCAUUGGAGAAGGACGGCAGGCUGAAGAGCGACUGCAGAAUGGCAUUCAUAUAGCAAGUGUUGCCCAAAUUUGAAAAUCUGUCAACGAUUUACACAUCGGACAGCACUGUCAGAAAAACACACCAGCAAGGGUGGCCUCUGAUUGCCAAGAAACUAAAGUGUUACCCUUGCAGAGGAGGCUGCGACUGGGCUGGAGUGGAGGGUCUCUGCUUGUUCCAACCACCAUAAUCCACAGAGGGCCGUACUUUCUUGAAAGGAGUGGAGUGAUUGGGCAGCAGAAGGCUGCGUUUGGCUGUGGGCGUGAGGGAUGUACUCGA
This is a long non-coding RNA of Phycodurus eques (leafy seadragon), 759 nucleotides long. RefSeq lists it as uncharacterized. The record is from RefSeq and is a predicted model, not a curated record. NCBI's taxonomy places the organism in Eukaryota, Metazoa, Chordata, Actinopteri, Syngnathiformes, Syngnathidae. The transcript has 2 exons.